Molecule: ribosomal RNA, 497 nt
Filed under: uncultured bacterium
Lineage: Bacteria
Description: partial 16S ribosomal RNA
Rfam family: Bacterial small subunit ribosomal RNA
Source: RNAcentral
GAUGAACGCUGGCGGCGUGCCUAAUACAUGCCAGUCGAGCGAACAGACGAGGCGCUUGCUCCUCUGACGUUAGCGGCGGACGGGUGAGUCACACGUGGAUAACCUACCUAUAAGACUGGGAUAACUUCGGGAAACCGGCGAAUAUACCGGAUAAUAUAUUGAAGCGCAUGGUUCAAUAGUGAAAGACGGCUUUGCUGUCUCUACUCGCUGGAUACGCGCCGGAUUAGCUAGUUGUUAAGGUAACGGCUUACCAAGGCGACGAUGCGUAGACGAACGGAGAGAGUGAUCGGCCACACUGGAACUGAGACACGGUCCAGACUCCUACGGGAGGCAGCAGUCGGGAAUCUUCCGCAAUGGGCGAAAGCCUGACGGAGCAACGCCGCGUGAGUGAUGAAGGUCUUCGGAUCGUAAAACUCUGUUAUUAGGGAAGAACAAAUGUGUAAGUAACUAUGCACGUCUUGACGGUACCUAAUCAGAAAGCCACGGCUAACUACGUG